RNAcentral lists this ribosomal RNA (792 nucleotides) under uncultured bacterium. RNAcentral's name for it is "bacterial SSU rRNA". It matches the Rfam family "Bacterial small subunit ribosomal RNA", at positions 8 to 796 of the family's 1533-position model. The record is from RNAcentral.
AGAGUUUGAUCAUGGCUCAGAACGAACGCUGGCGGCGUGCUUAACACAUGCAAGUCGCGUGCGCAGUUUCCGUAGCAAUACGGGGAUGGGCGCACGGCGCACGGGUGCGUAACACGUGGGCAAUCUGCCCUCCGAUGGGGAAUACCCCCGCGAAAGCGGGACUAAUUCCGCAUAACAUUCCUUGGAUUAACUUUCGAGGAUUCAAAGCAGCAAUGCGUCGGAGGAGGAGCCCGCGCCCGAUUAGCUAGUUGGUGAGGUAACGGCUCACCAAGGCAAUGAUCGGUAGCUGGUCUGAGAGGAUGGCCAGCCACACUGGAACUGAGACACGGUCCAGACUCCUACGGGAGGCAGCAGUGGGGAAUCUUGCACAAUGGGCGAAAGCCUGAUGCAGCGACGCCGCGUGGGGGAUGAAGCUUUUCGGAGUGUAAACCCCUUUCGACUGGGACGAAUGCCUCGCAAGAGGAGUGACGGUACCAGUAUAAGAAGCCCCAGCUAACUACGUGCCAGCAGCCGCGGUAAGACGUAGGGGGCCAGCGUUGUUCGGAAUUACUGGGUGUAAAGGGUUCGUAGGCGGUGUGGCAAGUCGGGAGUGAAAUCUCUGGGCUCAACCCAGAGACUGCUUCCGAAACUGCUGUGCUUGAGUGUGAGAGAGGCUCGUGGAAUUGCAGGUGUAGCGGUGAAAUGCGUAGAUAUCUGCAGGAACACCCGUGGCGAAAGCGGCGAGCUGGAUCACUACUGACGCUGAGACGCGAAAGCGUGGGGAGCGAACAGGAUUAGAUACCCUAGUAGUCC